RNAcentral lists this ribosomal RNA (457 nucleotides) under uncultured bacterium. RNAcentral describes it as "bacterial SSU rRNA". It matches the Rfam family "Bacterial small subunit ribosomal RNA", at positions 340 to 786 of the family's 1533-position model. The record is from RNAcentral.
UACGGGAGGCAGCAGUGGGGAAUAUUGCACAAUGGGCGCAAGCCUGAUGCAGCCAUGCCGCGUGUAUGAAGAAGGCCUUCGGGUUGUAAAGUACUUUCAGUCGUGAGGAAGGUGUUAAGGUUAAUAACCUUAGCAAUUGACGUUAGCGACAGAAGAAGCACCGGCUAACUCCGUGCCAGCAGCCGCGGUAAUACGGAGGGUGCGAGCGUUAAUCGGAAUUACUGGGCGUAAAGGGCACGCAGGCGGUUAAUUAAGUUGGAUGUGAAAUCCCCGGGCUUAACCUGGGAAUGGCAUUCAAGACUGGUUAGCUAGAGUCUUGUAGAGGGGGUAGAAUUCCAUGUGUAGCGGUGAAAUGCGUAGAGAUGUGGAGGAAAUACCGGUGGCGAAGGCGGCCCCUGGACAAAAGGACUGACGCUCAUGUGCGAAAAGCGUGGGGAGCAAACAGGGAUUAGAUACC